CGAAUGGCACUGAAGGAAAAAGUAUUUUUGCCGCGGUUUUUUCAGAGAGCUUGUAUAUGGUGAAAGCAAGUAAAACCGCACAAAAAGAAUGGGCUCCUGAGCUUGAUGGAUGAAUGAAGUACUCCAUCACGUCUUCCCGCGUUAUGGGAUUUGAGCGGCUAGUGAUAGCAAUUCGGGUGGUACCGCGGUUACCUUUUCAUCAAUCGUCCCUAUU
Molecule: non-coding RNA, 214 nt
Filed under: Sporosarcina sp.
Lineage: Bacteria; Bacillati; Bacillota; Bacilli; Caryophanales; Caryophanaceae
Description: T-box sequence
Rfam family: T-box leader
About the family: Uncharged tRNA acts as the effector for transcription antitermination of genes in the T-box leader family.
Source: RNAcentral